CUCCUCCCCCUAUUUUCGGCAGACACCCUCUCUCUUUCUAAUUCCUUAUCUUUUUCUCUCUAUAUCUCUAUAUCUAUACAUAACUCUUGUUCUUCAUAGACUAAAGCUUUGAUUUAUAGAGUUUAAGGUGGGAUUUUGAGGGAAAGGAAGAAGGGAAGUUGAAGAGCUUGGCAUGAGCUUCAAAUUGAGGCCAAUAUUGCUAGGGUUUUGAAGGAUUGAAAAUUUGGGGCUUGCUAAGGGUUUGUUUGGCUAAUCAUCUUGAGGAAUGCGGAGACGAGCUGGUAAAUGAUGUAUAUCCAUGGACAUUGAUGUAACUAGGAAUCCAUUUCAUUUUAUACAUAUUAAAGCUAUGUAAAUUUUGGCCAUGGAGGCCUCAUUCCUUGUAUUUUAUUCUUUGGAAGUUGUAUAAACUGAGAUUUUGUAUAACUCAAUCUUUAAAUGAUGUAAUGGGCUUGUAUCCGAUUUAUUUGAAUGUAUGAGAGUUUAAUUAUGUUUUAUA
Molecule: long non-coding RNA, 499 nt
Organism: Cornus florida
Lineage: Eukaryota; Viridiplantae; Streptophyta; Magnoliopsida; Cornales; Cornaceae
Exons: 2
Source: RefSeq, a predicted model, not a curated record